This 186-nucleotide ribosomal RNA is filed under the name Salinivibrio kushneri. RNAcentral describes it as "partial 16S ribosomal RNA". It matches the Rfam family "Bacterial small subunit ribosomal RNA", at positions 1352 to 1533 of the family's 1533-position model. The record is from RNAcentral. Lineage: Bacteria; Pseudomonadati; Pseudomonadota; Gammaproteobacteria; Vibrionales; Vibrionaceae.
GAAUGCCACGGUGAAUACGUUCCCGGGCCUUGUACACACCGCCCGUCACACCAUGGGAGUGGGCUGCACCAGAAGUAGAUAGCUUAACCUUCGGGAGGGCGUUUACCACGGUGUGGUUCAUGACUGGGGUGAAGUCGUAACAAGGUAGCCCUAGGGGAACCUGGGGCUGGAUCACCUCCUUACUGA